CGAGGCCGUCGUCGGGCAGGACGGCACGGCCGCCGUCACCGGCCGGCUGACGGUUCGGGGGGAGAGCAGCCCGCAGUCCGUCACCGCGAGCAUCGCC
This 97-nucleotide transfer RNA is filed under the name Streptomyces fructofermentans. RNAcentral describes it as "tRNA-Asp". The record is from RNAcentral. Lineage: Bacteria; Bacillati; Actinomycetota; Actinomycetes; Kitasatosporales; Streptomycetaceae.